GACAGAGGGUACAAACGUUGUUCGGAAUUACUGGGCGUAAAGCGCGUGUAGGCUGCUUCGCAAGUCGGGUGUGAAAGCCCUGGGCUCAACCUAGGAAGUGCACUCGAAACUGCGAAGCUUGAGUCCUGGAGAGGAAGGCGGAAUUCUCGGUGUAGAGGUGAAAUUCGUAGAUAUCGAGAGGAACACCGGUGGCGAAGGCGGCCUUCUGGACAGUGACUGACGCUGAGACGCGAAAGCGUGGGGAGCAAACAGG
This 253-nucleotide ribosomal RNA is filed under the name uncultured bacterium. Its description in RNAcentral is "partial 16S ribosomal RNA". It matches the Rfam family "Bacterial small subunit ribosomal RNA", at positions 524 to 776 of the family's 1533-position model. The record is from RNAcentral.